AUGCCGGAUGCUCCAGUUGACCGCAUGGUCCUCUGGGAAAGCUUUUGCGGUAUGGGAUGGGGUCGCGUCCUAUCAGCUUGAUGGCGGGGUAACGGCCCACCAUGGCUUCGACGGGUAGCCGGCCUGAGAGGGCGACCGGCCACAUUGGGACUGAGAUACGGCCCAGACUCCUACGGGAGGCAGCAGUGGGGAAUAUUGCACAAUGGGCGCAAGCCUGAUGCAGCGACGCCGCGUGCGGGAUGACGGCCUUCGGGUUGUAAACCGCUUUUGACUGGGAGCAAGCCCUUCGGGGUGAGUGUACCUUUCGAAUAAGCACCGGCUAACUACGUGCCAGCAGCCGCGGUAAUACGUAGGGUGCAAGCGUUAUCCGGAAUUAUUGGGCGUAAAGGGCUCGUAGGCGGUUCGUCGCGUCCGGUGUGAAAGUCCAUCGCUUAACGGUGGAUCCGCGCCGGGUACGGGCGGGCUUGAGUGCGGUAGGGGAGACUGGAAUUCCCGGUGUAACGGUGGAAUGU
RNAcentral lists this ribosomal RNA (512 nucleotides) under Bifidobacterium adolescentis. RNAcentral's name for it is "partial 16S ribosomal RNA". It matches the Rfam family "Bacterial small subunit ribosomal RNA", at positions 166 to 689 of the family's 1533-position model. Lineage: Bacteria; Bacillati; Actinomycetota; Actinomycetes; Bifidobacteriales; Bifidobacteriaceae. The record is from RNAcentral.